GAAGUGUAGUUACAAACCUUGUCACUAUACUUUUAACCAAUUAAGCUUUUUUGGUGAACCUUCUUAUUAUGUUAAGGGUGAUGGUAUGGUUGUGGAUGAAUCCAAUAAGAAAUUGUCCUCUUCGGAUGACCUUCUUAACAAUAGGCAAUUUUCCAAUAUCUUAUAGCAUUAAAUCCACACAAUGGACAAUACAUAGAGUCCAAAUGAUAUUAGGAUACUUGUCUUCUAAAUAUUUUCCUAAUAAAAAAAUAAAUGAAUCACAUUAUAUGACAACAUAUAAUUAAUAUUUCAAUUUGGAUAAUGAAAAUUAUAAAAUUCUUAUCCGGCAAAACAUAGUUGCUAUCAUUGUCAUUCAAAGCUUGCACAAUAGUUUUCUCUUCAAUUUCUUGAACAAAUGUGUCCAAAAGUUUAAAUAUUUUCAAUCUAGUCUUAAUAUAGCUUGAACCAUCAAUACUCCUUACGAACAUAGUCCCACCUAGAGUGUUGACCCAUAAAUUGAUCAAUAUCCUAACCUUUUAAUCCACCCAUGCAUCUGACAUGAUAGAUCAUUCGUAUUGAGUUUGCUCUAUUACAAGUCCAUGUAACAUUUUCUUUGUGAGCUCUAGUUAUUUUUUGUUUUGUUUUUAGCAAUGUAACUCUAAUCUCAUGGUAACUUGGAGGCUUUAAGUGUGCUCCAUAUUUUUCAAUCGCUUCAAUCAUCAACUUGAAGAUUUUUAGACUUCACAACAUUAAAAAGAAUAUCAUUCCCAUAAAAGAAACGACCAAUGUAUUGAUUAGUUAAUUCUCUUGUCUCUUUCUCACACGCAUAUUUUAUCGAUGUUUGACAUUUGUCCAUUGCUAUUGUCAUUUUCUGAGAUACCUCUAGAUUUUUAAACAUAUGCACAUCCAUAUGGCCUUUAACAUUCGUCUUGGCAAUACCUAUUGCAUACUUUUUUCCUGCCCGAACAUUUACAAUUACUUGCAAAACAUCAUCAUCCUACUCAUCGAUAUUAAUCUCAGCCAUAUAAGAAUCAUUAGUUGUUUGCUUUUUCUCCUAAGCCUCCUUGAGUUUGAGUAUUAUAUCAGCCGAUGUUUACCUACAAAGAACUACUUAUCCCUUUAUCCUAUAUGAUGCCAUUUUGCUCUCAUAAUACCUCAUUUCGAAACCUUCCCACAAAAAUCACAAGUAACGACCUUCUUGUCAUUAUAUCCCCCAAAGAAUUCCAUUGCUAAGCCAUGUCAAGGUUUUCACCAGUUGAUUUAGACAACCCUUUGUUGUUGGUGUUGCAGAUGAAUAUGCAAUUCUCCUUACAAAACCAAAGUAGAAGAAAAAAAAGAGCAAAACAAAAUUGUUUAUGAAAUAGAGGAAGAAAACGAAACUGAAAUAGAGGAAGAAAACGACAAUGGAAAACAAAACAAAUGAAGAAAAUAAAAUUGUAACACUAUACCAAAGGACGCAAAAUGAUGGAGGAAACGAAGAAACAG
Molecule: long non-coding RNA, 1464 nt
Filed under: Cicer arietinum (chickpea)
Lineage: Eukaryota; Viridiplantae; Streptophyta; Magnoliopsida; Fabales; Fabaceae
Description: long non-coding RNA (CARI_LNC002474)
Source: RNAcentral